AGUCGAGAAUCUUCGGCAAUGGGCGAAAGCCUGACCGAGCGACGCCGCGUGCGGGAUGAAGGCCCUCGGGUUGUAAACCGCUGUCGUAGGGGAGGAAGGCUCUGUGAAGAGCAGAGUUUGACCUAUCCUAGGAGGAAGUACGGGCUAAGUUCGUGCCAGCAGCCGCGGUAAUACGAACCGUACAAACGUUAUUCGGAAUCACUGGGCUUAAAGGGUGCGUAGGCGGCCACGUAAGUGAGAUGUGAAAGCCCUCGGCUCAACCGAGGAAGUGCAUUUCAUACUGCAUGGCUUGAGGGAGACAGGGGUAAGCGGAACUGAUGGUGGAGCGGUGAAAUGCGUUGAUAUCAUCAGGAACACCGGUGGCGAAAGCGGCUUACUGGGUCUCUUCUGACGCUGAGGUACGAAAGCUAGGGUAGCGAA
RNAcentral lists this ribosomal RNA (420 nucleotides) under uncultured Planctomycetaceae bacterium. RNAcentral describes it as "bacterial SSU rRNA". It matches the Rfam family "Bacterial small subunit ribosomal RNA", at positions 353 to 772 of the family's 1533-position model. Lineage: Bacteria; Pseudomonadati; Planctomycetota; Planctomycetia; Planctomycetales; Planctomycetaceae. The record is from RNAcentral.